This is a non-coding RNA of Benincasa hispida (wax gourd), 107 nucleotides long. NCBI's taxonomy places the organism in Eukaryota, Viridiplantae, Streptophyta, Magnoliopsida, Cucurbitales, Cucurbitaceae. The record is from RefSeq and is a predicted model, not a curated record.
AAGCUGUUAUGCGGGCAAUCUCUUACUAGCCUCUUAAACCUCGCCCAGGCAUCACUGAGCGAUUCAUCGAUAUCCUAUUCAAAAUUAGUGAUCAGUUUCCUCCUUCU